UACGUAGGUGGCAAGCGUUAUCCGGAAUUAUUGGGCGUAAAGCGCGCGCAGGCGGUUCCUUAAGUCUGAUGUGAAAGCCCACGGCUCAGCCGUGGAGGGUCAUUGGAAACUGGGGAACUUGAGUACAGAAGAGGAAAGUCGAAUUCCACGUGUAGCGGUGAAAUGCGUAGAGAUGUGGAGGAACACCAGUGGCGAAGGCGACUUUCUGGCCUACAACUGACGCUGAGGCGCGAAAGCGUGGGGAGCAAACAGG
RNAcentral lists this unclassified non-coding RNA (253 nucleotides) under uncultured Caryophanales bacterium. RNAcentral describes it as "uncultured Bacillales bacterium contains 16S-23S intergenic spacer region". It matches the Rfam family "Bacterial small subunit ribosomal RNA", at positions 524 to 776 of the family's 1533-position model. Lineage: Bacteria; Bacillati; Bacillota; Bacilli; Caryophanales. The record is from RNAcentral.